GACGGAGGGUGCUAGCGUUGUUCGGAAUCACUGGGCGUAAAGGGCGCGUAGGCGGCCUUGCAAGUCGGUUGGUGAAAGCCCGGGGCUCAACCCCGGAGGUGCGGCCGAGACUGCAGGGCUGGAGGCCGGAAGAGGAGGGUGGAAUACCCAGUGUAGAGGCGAAAUUCGUAGAUAUUGGGUGGAACACCGGUGGCGAAAGCGGCUCUCUGGUCCGGACCUGACGCUGAGGCGCGAAAGCGUGGGGAGCAAACAGG
RNAcentral lists this ribosomal RNA (254 nucleotides) under uncultured bacterium. RNAcentral's name for it is "partial 16S ribosomal RNA". It matches the Rfam family "Bacterial small subunit ribosomal RNA", at positions 524 to 776 of the family's 1533-position model. The record is from RNAcentral.